Molecule: ribosomal RNA, 253 nt
Filed under: uncultured bacterium
Lineage: Bacteria
Description: partial 16S ribosomal RNA
Rfam family: Bacterial small subunit ribosomal RNA
Source: RNAcentral
UACGUAGGGGGCAAGCGUUGUCCGGAUUUAUUGGGCGUAAAGAGCGUGUAGGCGGCCAGGUAGGUCCGUUGUGAAAACUCGAGGCUCAACCUCGAGACGUCGGCGGAAACCCUCUGGCUAGAGUCCGGAAGAGGAGAGUGGAAUUCCUGGUGUAGCGGUGAAAUGCGCAGAUAUCAGGAAGAACACCGGUGGCGAAGGCGGCCUGCUGGGCUAUGGCUGACACUGAGGCGCGACAGCGUGGGGAGCAAACAGG